AGUGAACGCUGGCGGUAGGCCUAACACAUGCAAGUCGAACGGCAGCACAGUAAGAGCUUGCUCUUACGGGUGGCGAGUGGCGGACGGGUGAGGAAUACAUCGGAAUCUACUUUUUCGUGGGGGAUAACGUAGGGAAACUUACGCUAAUACCGCAUACGACCUACGGGUGAAAGCAGGGGAUCUUCGGACAUUGCGCGUUUGAAUGAGCCGAUGUCGGAUUAGCUAGUUGGCGGGGUAAAGGCCCACCAAGGCGACGAUCCGUAGCUGGUCUGAGAGGAUGAUCAGCCACACUGGAACUGAGACACGGUCCAGACUCCUACGGGAGGCAGCAGUGGGGAAUAUUGGACAAUGGGCGCAAGCCUGAUCCAGCCAUACCGCGUGGGUGAAGAAGGCCUUCGGGUUGUAAAGCCCUUUUGUUGGGAAAGAAAAGCAGCAGGUUAAUACCCCGCUGUUCUGACGGUACCCAAAGAAUAAGCACCGGCUAACUUCGUG
Molecule: ribosomal RNA, 492 nt
Filed under: uncultured bacterium
Lineage: Bacteria
Description: partial 16S ribosomal RNA
Rfam family: Bacterial small subunit ribosomal RNA
Source: RNAcentral